This is a non-coding RNA of Cajanus cajan (pigeon pea), 330 nucleotides long. It matches the Rfam family "Plant signal recognition particle RNA". The record is from Rfam. NCBI's taxonomy places the organism in Eukaryota, Viridiplantae, Streptophyta, Magnoliopsida, Fabales, Fabaceae.
GCCGAGUUGAGUUGCGCCAGCUUGUAACCCAUGUGGGGGCAUCAGAGUGAUGGGACGGCUACUGGGCUUUGCUAGGUUGGGCUGUUGCAGCAACUUGCUGGCCUGCCCGCUCCAAGUUGGGAGUUGCCUGCCCGCUCCAAGUUGGGAGUUGGGCCACGGAGCUUGUGCGAAGGCAUUGGCCUCUUGGUCCCUAGACUUGAGGGCACAGCGUGAGGCUGGCUUGACAGAGCAGCGAUAACCUCAGGCUUCCAACAGUGGAGGGAUAACAGGCUGCUGCCCCAACAGCCCACAAAUAGCCUGGUCAGCCCAGUUCCUUGAACCAUCAUUUUU